GUCACAAUAGCCAUGUGGCACGAUUAUCCAAGGGUGAUCCAGCUCAUUGUUGAGGACCAGGCCAAGGGGCCACCCCCUUAACACCUGGGUGCAGCAGAUAGAUGGGUGGGACUGGACUGCGUGUCUACCUAGGGGGAUUUCCAACCAGGAACCCGAUUUGUUUUGUUGUGUGGUGGGCACAGUAACGCGCUAUAUCAGUGCAACCUGACCUGACUUGGCCUCUGCGGACCUUCAUGGUCAAAAUUAUGGUGAGACUCCCAUUUCGGGACAAGGGCUCAAAACCAUCUUGUGUUCCCAAGAGCCCAAUGAAGACCACCUGCCUGACAUGAACCCUAAGGUGAAGUGUGGUGGUGGCAGCAUCAAGCUAUGGGGAUGCAGUGACAGGGAGACUGGUCAGAAUUUCAGGGUGAGGGUGAAGACAGCCAAAUUCAGGGCAGUCCUUGAGGAAGACCUGCUGCAGAGAGCACUCCACCUCAGACUAGGGUGACAGUUCAUCUAUUAACAUGACAAUGACCCAAAACAUACAGCCAGGACAACAUUGGAGUGACUUCAGGACAGGUCUCUCACUGUCCUUGAGUGGCCCAGACUUUGAAGAGGUAUGGGGGGGACCACAAAAUGGCAGCUUACAGAUGCUUACCUUACAAUCUGGUCAAAUGGAGCUUGAGAGGGUCUGCCUGGGAGAAUGAAUGGCAUAAAAUGCCCAGUUCAGGUGUGCAAAGCUUGCAGAGACAUACCCAGCAGAUCUGAACCUGACUUUUUUGCAAAUUGCUGAAUACUUCUAGGAAGGAGUUAUUUCAGUUUCUGAUUUCUCCUAAAUUUCCAAACUUUGCUGUAAACGGCUUCUCUCUUUGUCACUGUGGGUUACUGAGUAUCGACCGAUGAGCAGAAGUAGCAAAUUUCUCCAUUUUAAUUGAAAUCUGCAACACAAUAAAAUGCGCUGACUUUGAAUGGGGUCUCGGUACUUUCUGAGUCCACUGUAAAAAGUGGCAGCUUGUUAUCCUGCCAGUAAAGAAGAACGGAUGAUGAUGACUUGGAUGUGCCACCAUAAGAGUCCAACACGUGGUGACCGAGGCUUUGACCGCCUUUGGAAAAGUAGCAUGUCGGACUCCCAUGUGAAACGAUUUUUAGGGGUGACAUUGCAAAACAACCCUCCGAAGUUUCACUCGUCUCUGCCACUAAUUAAGAUGGCAGCUGGAAUCGAGACACAAAGUCCAAAAAACGUCAUCAAAGUUCACAGCUCUGGCUGACCAGCAUUGGUCCAAAAUCACGCGAGAGUCGAGUUGCAAUCCAACAUUAGGGUAACAUGAGCUGUGUCUCGCCAUCUUAAUUAGACGUUCGUGACGUCACACGUGCCACAACAAGCCAUACACCGCUAAAGAAUCCAAAAUGGCAGAAGACGUGAACCAUAAACCUGAAGCUCCUUUAAUACUCAAAGAAAACGAUGAAACAGGCAUGUGAGUUUGUGACAGCAGUGCUGCGCCGUGGGCUGAGACAAAGGGGCCGGACUGAAGGACCGUCUCUUGCUGAAGGGUGGACGUGACUCUUGGGGGGCUCACUUUGGUGCUCUUUCACUGAUUGUUGUUCUCCAGGAAGUCAGAAGACGGUGUGGUGGGACGCCAGCCGUGCUCUCUCUGCUGCAGCUUUGUGCUGCUAAACCACAGAGGCACUGGUUUCCUUCCAUGGCAUGGCUACGCCACAAGCCUAUUUCAUCGGAAAGACAGAGCGGAGUGAAAACACGAGGGUCCAGCAGGCCGAUGGGAGGGCUUUCUUAGGCUUUCACUGUAAUAAACAUUUACUGGUUAAUCAA
Polypterus senegalus (gray bichir) is the source of this 1807-nucleotide long non-coding RNA. RefSeq lists it as uncharacterized. The record is from RefSeq and is a predicted model, not a curated record. Lineage: Eukaryota; Metazoa; Chordata; Cladistia; Polypteriformes; Polypteridae. The transcript has 2 exons.